This is a long non-coding RNA of Brienomyrus brachyistius, 1426 nucleotides long. RefSeq lists it as uncharacterized. The transcript is spliced from 2 exons. The record is from RefSeq and is a predicted model, not a curated record. NCBI's taxonomy places the organism in Eukaryota, Metazoa, Chordata, Actinopteri, Osteoglossiformes, Mormyridae.
AUUUUGCCUGCCGCUGCUUGGUCACUGUAACGCAGACGCAGCUAUGCUGAGGAGUAAUAGCUUACUGAUUGCUGACAGUCUACAGCGUGACCUUUCCGGACUAGCUAGCACCAAACGGGGCUGCAUCCUUCAAAGAUCAUAGUCUGCACAGCCAUCUUGGAUUCUGAGCUUGGGGCUUCUGAUGUUUCUCGGACUUUUGGAGUCAGAAUUCCGACGUCGGAGGGCGUACCAGUUGAAAUUUCCAACUGGGAACUCAGAAUUUCUUACUUCCGAGUUCUAAAGGAACACAGCAGUAGUUACGAACUGAUCCCAUGUUCGUUUAUCACUAAUUGAUCAUAAUGAUUCAUGUAUUUUAUGCAGGAAUUAUAUUAGUGUGUGAUUUGUUUUUGAAUAGUAAUUGAGUAACUAAUGUAUUUGUUUAAAUAAAGUGUUAUCUGUGAAACUCGUGAGCUCAUCAUCUCAGGGUUUGACAAAUACAUGGCCGUUGGAUCCAUAUAUUUAAAGUUUUGUCUUAAUAGUCCAUAAUACCAAAUUCCUUCCUGUUAAUAGACGAUGAUUUAUGGUUUAAGACAUAAGAAGUUAUGGCUUCAAACAAGUGCACUCAAACUUUUGAAUGGUACUAUCAGUAAUGGCAAAGUUUAUCAUUUUGUAAUAUAGCCCUGUCACUUCACAGCAAUGCCUCAAAAAUAAUAUAUUAAUAUUUUUAUUAGUAUGAACGUUAAAAAUAAAAAUGAGCUUGUGGACAUUGUUCUCUAACAUCAAUUCCCUAAUUAUGCAUGAUUUCAUGGCUAUCAUUUAAAGUUAUACCAAUAACACUUCACAAUAAUAUCACAAUGUAAUAGUUUGCUAUAUUCACAGUAUUAUUUGUAUUACAUUUAGCUUGCUACUUUGUCUUUUUAAAUAUUUUAGCUAUAUUUUGUGACAUAUUCUGACGUCUGAAUGUAUUCCUAUUCGUCAAGUUUUGACAGUUCUGAUUCCUGCAUAGGAUUCACAUUGAUUUUGAAAACAGUUUUUCCUGGAAAGAAAUAUCUUCCCCUACCUUGCCUUCAAAGUGGAUUUUCUUAUUCAGGUGAAUGAGCUCUUCUGUUCUCUUCAUUGAUUGGACACUGGAGUUACACUCUUUUAUUAUCUUUAAAAUUUGAGAAAAUGGACAUGAUUUGUUUUCAGUGGAAUAACUGCUGUCCACUAAUGCAAUACAUUUACUUAGGCCUAUAUUUUGCAUGUAAGAAACUAUUUCACUGCCCAAGAAAUUAUAAAGGAAUGUGUAAAUGAUUGUGUAAAUUAUAAUUGAUUAUAAGCAGGCAUUUAAAUGUUAAUAGUGUGUGAUUCAGAUGGAAUAUACUAUGAAUACCUGUUCUGCUAUAGCAUGGGAGAUUCACUGCGAAUCAGGCACAAUAAAAGUCCCUUUAUACCUGCUCGGAAGUAA